GAGUUUGAUCUUGGCUCAGAUUGAGCGCUGGCGGCAUGCCUUACACAUGCAAGUCGAACGGCAGCACGGGAGCUUGCUCCUGGUGGCGAGUGGCGAACGGGUGAGUAAUGCAUCGGAACGUAUCCUGGAGUGGGGGAUAACGUAGCGAAAGUUACGCUAAUACCGCAUAUUCUGUGAGCAGGAAAGCGGGGGACCUUCGGGCCUCGCGCUCUUGGAGCGGCCGAUGUCGGAUUAGCUAGUUGGUGAGGUAAGGGCUCACCAAGGCGACGAUCCGUAGCAGGUCUGAGAGGAUGAUCUGCCACACUGGAACUGAGACACGGUCCAGACUCCUACGGGAGGCAGCAGUGGGGAAUUUUGGACAAUGGGGGCAACCCUGAUCCAGCCAUGCCGCGUGAGUGAAGAAGGCCUCGGUGUAAG
RNAcentral lists this ribosomal RNA (417 nucleotides) under bacterium enrichment culture clone ALO1_GLFRUDD03FUSD7. RNAcentral's name for it is "bacterial SSU rRNA". It matches the Rfam family "Bacterial small subunit ribosomal RNA", at positions 9 to 429 of the family's 1533-position model. The record is from RNAcentral.